GUCAAGUCAUCAUGGCCUUUAUGCCCAGGGCUACACACGUGCUACAAUGGGGCGUACAAAGGGUCGCAACAUAGCGAUAUGAAGCUAAUCCCAAAAAACGUCUCUCAGUUCGGAUCGCAGUCUGCAACUCGACUGCGUGAAGCUGGAAUCGCUAGUAAUCGUAUAUCAGCAAUGAUACGGUGAAUACGUUCCCGGACCUU
RNAcentral lists this ribosomal RNA (200 nucleotides) under uncultured prokaryote. RNAcentral's name for it is "partial 16S ribosomal RNA". It matches the Rfam family "Bacterial small subunit ribosomal RNA", at positions 1184 to 1382 of the family's 1533-position model. The record is from RNAcentral.